RNAcentral lists this ribosomal RNA (644 nucleotides) under bacterium IRQ_38. RNAcentral's name for it is "bacterial SSU rRNA". It matches the Rfam family "Bacterial small subunit ribosomal RNA", at positions 836 to 1480 of the family's 1533-position model. The record is from RNAcentral.
GGCGUGGCUUCCGGAGCUAACGCGUUAAAUCGACCGCCUGGGGAGUACGGCCGCAAGGUUAAAACUCAAAUGAAUUGACGGGGGCCCGCACAAGCGGUGGAGCAUGUGGUUUAAUUCGAUGCAACGCGAAGAACCUUACCUGGUCUUGACAUCCACAGAACUUUCCAGAGAUGGAUUGGUGCCUUCGGGAACUGUGAGACAGGUGCUGCAUGGCUGUCGUCAGCUCGUGUUGUGAAAUGUUGGGUUAAGUCCCGCAACGAGCGCAACCCUUAUCCUUUGUUGCCAGCGGUCAGGCCGGGAACUCAAAGGAGACUGCCAGUGAUAAACUGGAGGAAGGUGGGGAUGACGUCAAGUCAUCAUGGCCCUUACGACCAGGGCUACACACGUGCUACAAUGGCGCAUACAAAGAGAAGCGACCUCGCGAGAGCAAGCGGACCUCAUAAAGUGCGUCGUAGUCCGGAUUGGAGUCUGCAACUCGACUCCAUGAAGNNGGAAUCGCUAGUAAUCGUAGAUCAGAAUGCUACGGUGAAUACGUUCCCGGGCCUUGUACACACCGCCCGUCACACCAUGGGAGUGGGUUGCAAAAGAAGUAGGUAGCUUAACCUUCGGGAGGGCGCUUACCACUUUGUGAUUCAUGACUGGGG